Long non-coding RNA from Ruditapes philippinarum (Manila clam), 3525 nucleotides. RefSeq lists it as uncharacterized. The record is from RefSeq and is a predicted model, not a curated record. The transcript is spliced from 3 exons. NCBI's taxonomy places the organism in Eukaryota, Metazoa, Mollusca, Bivalvia, Venerida, Veneridae.
ACUUUAUUAGACAUAUUCAUAUUGUUUUCAAUAAAUUUUACAAAAAUAACUACAAAACAUAUACUUGAUUUACGGUGGUGUAAAACUUACGACAUGCCAAUCCUGUUUAAUAUUGUGCACUUUAGAAUUUAAAUGUUUCUUAAACCGAAUUUAUUUUUAAUAUUAGUGAUGUAUCAUUGAAAUAUGUUUAACAGUAUAAGUAUCUGAGACUUGUUUAAACCGAUUAUUUAUACCAUGCCAUGAUUGCUGAAACAGUAUCAAAGUCUGCCAAUAUUGAUUUCAAUAAUAAAAUCAUUUGGAGGCAUCUUAUAUGAACCUUUUUACAAAAUGUAUGAGGCUACUGUUUGGCCCGUAAAUACAUUUGCCUCGGCUAUUUGGGGCUAUGAAUGUUUUUCUUGUUUCUAUAAAUGCAGUACGAAAUAGGGCUGCUCGUUAUUAUUUAAAUGUCGGGAGAUAUACUCAAAAUGCAGCAACUUCUGGAGAUAUUGGUUGGAAAACUAUUACGUACUCAUUAUGGAAAACUGCUUUGACAAAUUGUUGUAGAUACACUUUAAUGAAUUCAAACAUACUGAAUAAAAAAUGCAUGUGUCAAAUAAAAGAUGUAAUAAUUGGAAUUUUUAAGGUCAGUCAGACGUUUAGACAAUAUGAUAGAUUUUGCAAGAUUGAUACACCUUAUUCGAAAGAAUGUAUACCUAAAAUCUGCUUCCACAAAAAAAAAUUAUGAUGACUAUGUUCAAAAAUGGAUAACUGAUAUGAAAUGAGAUACAUCAAGUCAGGUUCAGACACACAAAAAUCCUUACAUGCAGGACAUUAUGUUAGAGCUGUCUAUAAUAGAUCUUACAGAGGUUCCUUGGCAAACUUUAGAAGUGCAAUGGGUAUUUUUAAUUUUUUAAUGGGACAUACUAUAGGAAGAUAUAACGGACUUCUAGUAGAACAAAGAACCUGCUUCCAUUGUUAGAAUAUAGUUGGGGAAGAAGCACAUGAAUUGUUACAAUGCCCUCUUUAUGAUUCAAUUGGAUUACAAUUACUCCAAUCGGUAAACAGACUUUGUAAUGGUGUCUUGAUCAUUUAACCGAUAUUGAUAAGGUUGGAUUGCAGGCAUAGCAAUAGUAGGUGCCAUAACCUGCUGUAACAUCUUAAAUAAAAGAAAACUUGUUUUAUAUCAUUAGUAAUCAGAAAAAACCCUGUCUUGUACAUGUGAUAUAUUGUCCUAAUGUUUAUAGUAGCCUUGUUGUAUAUUGUUUUAAUUAUAUAUGCAAUGUUUUUAUACAUACCUGAAGUUUUCUUGUUAAUCUUAAUUUGCUCUGUUCUUAUCAGUCACACACCAUUAUUUUACACCCAUGUUUUAGACUGCGAGACAUUUUGGCUUUUUAUUAUAUCUCAAUUCUUCUACAUAUGUUUUUAAGUUUUUAAUAUGAUAAGCAAAGAUACUUCUAUUUAAUUUACCUGUAUCUUAUCAUUAUGUAUAUAAAAGGGAAAUACAAAUAUAUCUUGUUGUGUAAGAAAUGUGUGCAACUAAGGGAGACAAAUCUGCAGUGCAUACAAUUCUCCUGUUUUGUGGUGUAGAGAUUUGUCACUCUUAGAAGUAAAAUAAAUCGUCAACUGUGGUUCUAUUUUAGAAUGGCUAUACAUGUAUUUUAAUUUUGCAGUGUGUACUUUAUAUAGAAACGAUCUCCGUCCGUCUGUGCUUCCGUCCGUCUGUCCAUCCAAUCGUCCGCCCGUCCUUUCGUCCGACAUUUUUGUCCGGAGCAUAUCUCAAAAAGUAUUUGAGGUUUAAACUUGAAACUUUAUAGAUGGAUAAAUCAUAUUGAGGAGGAGUACAGUGCACAAGAAUGAUAACUCUACCCCGUAUAAUUUGUCAGUUAUUGCCCUUUGUUAUUUUUGAAACUUAAUUUUUGUCCAGAGUAUAACAUAAAAAGGCUUUGAGAUAUCAACAUGAAACUUCAUUGGUGGAUAUAUCUCACUCAGGAGGUGUACAGUGCACAAUAAUUAUAACUCUACCAUUCAUAAGUUUUGAGUGAUUGCCCUUUGUUAUUUUUCAUACUUAAUUUUUCACCUGAGUGGAGCAUAACUCAAAAAGUCUUUGAGAUGUUAACAUGAAACUUCAUAGGUGGAUAGAUCUUAUUGAAGAGGAAUGCUGUGUGCAAGAAUGAUAAUUCUACCCUUUAUAAUUUUUGAGUUAUUGUCCUUUGUUAAUUUUAAUACUUUUUGUCCGUAGCUUAUCUCAAAAAGUUUCAGAGGUAUCAACUUGAAACUUCAUAGGUGGAUAGAUCUCAUUGAGGAGGAGUGCACCACUCGAGAAUGAUAACCUACCUUGCAUUAUUUUGCAGUUAUUUCCUUUGUUAGUUUCAGCCAUCAGUAUUCACAUUGGUUUCAAAUCAGCCAUCAGUUUUCAUUACAAAAGACCUCUUUAAGUUGAAUUAUUCUGCUCUACUACAUAUACAUUCUUCAAAUCAGCAAACACAUUAGGCGGGGGAUGACCAUGCUAACAUGGCUCUUGUUAAUAAUAUGUUUAUAUGUAUAGAUGAGACUCCAAAAAACAAUAAAUAAAAUGAUAAAGACAUGUAGAUGUACUUUUUGAACACACCUCUUGCCUACAGUUUAUGUUAUACUUUAAACAAAAACUAUUAAAACACUAAGUGUUCUGAGAAUUUAAUACAUGGAUAUAAAUGAAUAUGGAAAUCAAGUGUUUUAUUUCAUUUCAGGGACCCAUGGAAUCCUUGCAGAUCAAACUAACAGAGGGCAGCAUGACUUUUAUGAAAAUGUCCAAGGACCAAAGGUCAUGUGUAAAACAGCUGAUAUACCUGUGAAGGUAACAUCAAAGCAUCGGCAAAAUGAUGGCGUUGUUUUACUCCACAAGCCUAUUCAUGCUAUUGUGCCGUCAGGGGCGAUGCUUUCUAUGGAUGAGUAUGCUGUUGUCAUGUCAAACACCCUAUUGAAAUUCAACACUUUGUAUCGACACUAGUCUGUUCCCAAUCAAGACUGUUCAAUCAAACCAUCGAUAUUGAUCCACCGAAGACCUUCAAAUUAAAUAAUAGUAUGAGAUACCUCUGUUGUUUCUUAACUCAGAAAAAUAUGGAACAAACAAAACAACAACAAAAUAACAAAAAGUAAAAGUUAACAAUGAUUUUUUUUAUUUUUUUAUUUCAUAUUUAAAUGAAAACAGUCUUAAAAAGAGCACUUUUAUUAUUUUGCAAAAGAAAACAAUAAUUGUUUAGGAAAUAUUAUUGUUAUAUGUAUUGUAUAUAUGUAUAUAGAUGUAUAGAGAAGUUCUUUAAUCAGAUGUUUUAUUAGUUAAGCUGCGUUCAUUGAAUGCCGCCUUUCCUUGUCGAUCUUGUUUAUCAUAUUUUGUAAAUAUAUGGAUUUAAGUAAAGCCUUAAUUACUGUUCAUUAACACAGCAGACUUUACUAUUUUAAUGAUAUUUAUCCGAACCGUGCAAUAUGUUUGAAUAAAAACCUUGCUAUUUGUAUUUAUGUAUAUUAUGUAUAAGAAAUGUUAUGUAAUAAAAAGUAAUAUAUCUGUUA